UACGUAGGGGGCUAGCGUUGUCCGGAAUCAUUGGGCGUAAAGAGCGUGUAGGCGGCCCGGUAAGUCCGCUGUAAAAGUCAAAGGCUCAACCUUUGAAUGUCAGUGGAUACUGCCGGGCUAGAGUCCGGAAGAGGCGAGUGGAACUCCUGGUGUAGCGGUGAAAUGCGUAGAUAUCUGGAGGAACACCGGUGGCGAAGGCGGCAUCCUGGACCGACAUUGACGCUGAGGCGCGAAAGCCAGGGGAGCAAACGGG
RNAcentral lists this ribosomal RNA (253 nucleotides) under uncultured bacterium. Its description in RNAcentral is "partial 16S ribosomal RNA". It matches the Rfam family "Bacterial small subunit ribosomal RNA", at positions 524 to 776 of the family's 1533-position model. The record is from RNAcentral.